CAGGAGGUGUAGACAGUGUGUGUGGAUGCAGGCAGGAGGUGUAGACAGUGUGUGUGGAUGCAGGCAGGAGGUGUAGACUGUGUGUGUGGAUGCAGGCAGGAGGUGUAGACAGUGUGUGUGUGUGGAUGCAGGCAGGAGGUGUAGACUGUGUGGAUGCAGGCAGGAGGUGUAGACAGUGUGUGUGGAUGCAGGCAGGAGGUGUAGACAGUGUGUGUGGAUGCAGGCAGGAGGUGUAGACAGUGUGUGUGUGUGUGUGGAUGCAGGCAGGAGGUGUAGACAGUGUGUGUGGAUGCAGGCAGGAGGUGUAGACAGUGUGUGUGGAUGCAGGCAGGAGGUGUAGA
Long non-coding RNA from Erinaceus europaeus (western European hedgehog), 341 nucleotides. RefSeq lists it as uncharacterized. Lineage: Eukaryota; Metazoa; Chordata; Mammalia; Eulipotyphla; Erinaceidae. The transcript is spliced from 5 exons. The record is from RefSeq and is a predicted model, not a curated record.